AACAGAGCCCACAGAGACAAUAUGGACCAAUUAGAGAAUGAAAAUUUUAGAACUUACGACACAAUUGUUGUGAACGUAGAAAUUGUAGUCCUUUAACUCCUUGUAAAGGACAGACAGGCGCAGCUAUUAGCAAAAUGGAACAUAAAAAAGGAAUACACAUGAAUUUAUCAUCAAAUUUAGCACAACAAAAUCUAAGAGACUUCAACUGUUGCUGGUAAAAGGAAACCCUUACAUGAUUUGCUACAGAGUAUAAUGGUUUUUCAUACUAAUCAUCGUCUUAAUCAAGGCAUACAGAGCUUCUUGCAACUAACCGGGUCUGAACACCCAAGUCCGCCUCCUCUUCCUCCAGACCAUUCCUCCGGCUUUUUGUUCAGAAGCUUUCUAUGUCCUCCGUCUAUGCCAUCCAUCCCAGACCUUACUUAAAAGGCAGAGUCGAUUUGAGGAAUUUUAAAGUACAGUCAUGCUACAACGUACAAUCUGAACAAAAGAUUGUAUUUCCAGACUAAUCGUAAUCUUUGUAAACAAAAGUAGGCAAGUAGAUGCGAAUAGAGAGAAGUUUACGAUUUGGCUCGAAAAGAGGGAAUUUGAACCAGUUGUUGAUGAAAAGAGUGAGUUUCGGACGGAGGAGAAAAAGAAACGACAAAAUUAAUGAAAAGAGGAAGAAAUGAAAAAUAAAGGGUUAACUUACAUGUGUAAAAAUAGAGAUUUCUCACUGGUAGUUCGUUUGUAGAUUUGAGGCUUGACUCGUAAAAGAUAGAAUGCUGAUGUGGCACGAUUUUAGGCUUGGUUUUCCUGAUUGACGUGGACACUCAGUCCUCAGUAACCUCAAACAGCUAUUUUUAUUAGAAUAGAUUUGAGUUUAAAUAUGGGGAAUUUUUUAGAAAUAGGUAAAAAAGUUUUAAUUUUUUUUUUUGCUUUUGAAAUUGUCAAAAAUCGGGAAGAUUGUAUAACUAUUUAUUCUUAGAAUCAUAUUUUAAUUAUGACCGGAAUUUGGCCAGAUUAUAUUGAGUUUGUGGUGUUAUCAUUUACCAUGGAAAGUCGAGUUUAAAACAGUUCUUCAACUGGGCCGUUUCUAAGAUUUGUUUGGUUCGACUUCAUCUACUCGAGCUAAUAUGUUCUCUAGUGUGGUGUGAGCAGUAUAAUGAGUUGUAGCUUGCUUCUCGUCCUCUAAAAAUAAUUUUGCAAUGCUUAUGUCUUCAUCUUCACAGAAGAAGUGGGAAAUCGGGAAAAAACUAUUUGAUACACUGACCUCUUUUGGUAAGCAUCUUGUAUCUCAGCAACCGUUGAUUGAUUCUACUUCUUUUCCUUCUUUCUCGCUGAAUUUUCUUUAGGAUAGGUUCUGCAAGGAGAUCGAUCUCAUAAGUAUCAUACUAAUCCCAUCUAUCAGCAGAUCUUUUAGUCACUAAAUUGAAAUAUUUGCCUUUGGAAUGAAGGUGGAUAAAGGCCUUUUGGCAUACAUUCAGAGGUCUGCCUUCUUCUCUGGUACCUGGAGGAUGGAAAAAGAAGGUCUUUCCCAGAAAGUUGCAUUUGAACCAGUCGAAAGUGCGCCUUGAUUCAAAGUGUCUAGGUACCAAGAUUAAAGGAAGGAGGAGAUGCGGUCAUCCAAAUCAGAAGAUGAAAACGACGAGCCAGAGAAGAUGCAGCUCGACCCCAAGCCACCAUGGAACAUCUUGAAGAACUCCUCAACAGCCCAAAACCGUGGAGACUCAAGGAGUACCAGUCCAAUCAAGCCCACAAACCUACAAUUAUUCAUAUGGGCGGAUAAGGACAUAUGAGCAUCUCUUGAAAGAUUCUAGCCCAACCACAAAGAUUUAAGCUAAGAUCCGACUUGGUCCAUAUUCUUGAUCCAUCAAGGACCCACAGUGAAUCAAGACUCAAACCCAGAACGGUUUAGAGCUGAUGAGAACCAAGAUCAUAAACCGGGUGAUCCAAAAUUAUCCAAUUUUAGACAUUUCCUUAUUUGGAUCAUUGCAGACUUAUCUUUGGCAUCCAGGAGACUUUUCUAUCAUCAAGAGGUUCCAUGGAAUGACUACAUAUGGACCAGCAAGCAGGAGAUCAAGCGGAUCUCUUCACACCUCAAGUUUUCUUAUCUGAUGCUAAUUAUGUCAAAUCUGGUCAAACGGAUAUAUCUUCUUGAUUUAUUCGAUCUAUCUUGUUUGGAGACCUCACAAACCAUCAAGAGACUUUCAAGACAUCACUAUUUCAUGCCAAGUUGCCUAGAUAUAAGGAACCUUCACAAUCAUCUUGACCAAAAUCAAGCGUUCAAGGCCACAUCAAUCAAACAUUUGAUUGAUUUAUCAUUUAUGAUAAUUAUUUGUAAAUAUGUUGAUUUAUUGAUACCCGAUUUUCAUGAUUCCGAUCAAUGGAAUGGAC
Molecule: long non-coding RNA, 2373 nt
Filed under: Eutrema salsugineum
Lineage: Eukaryota; Viridiplantae; Streptophyta; Magnoliopsida; Brassicales; Brassicaceae
Description: long non-coding RNA (ESAL_LNC001767)
Source: RNAcentral